GCGGUAGUCGUAUAGUGGUUAGUAUGUGGCCUUGCCAAGGCCGCGACCGGGGUUCGACUCCCCGCUGCCGCA
This 72-nucleotide transfer RNA is filed under the name Candidatus Woesearchaeota archaeon. RNAcentral describes it as "tRNA-Gly". It matches the Rfam family "tRNA". From Rfam's summary of the family: Transfer RNA (tRNA) molecules are approximately 80 nucleotides in length. Their secondary structure includes four short double-helical elements and three loops (D, anti-codon, and T loops). Further hydrogen bonds mediate the characteristic L-shaped molecular structure. tRNAs have two regions of fundamental functional importance: the anti-codon, which is responsible for specific mRNA codon recognition, and the 3' end, to which the tRNAs corresponding amino acid is attached (by aminoacyl-tRNA synthetases). tRNAs cope with the degeneracy of the genetic code in two manners: having more than one tRNA (with a specific anti-codon) for a particular amino acid; and 'wobble' base-pairing, i.e. permitting non-standard base-pairing at the 3rd anti-codon position. Lineage: Archaea; Nanobdellati; Candidatus Woesearchaeota. The record is from RNAcentral.